This 65-nucleotide ribosomal RNA is filed under the name Muribaculaceae bacterium. RNAcentral's name for it is "partial 16S ribosomal RNA". It matches the Rfam family "Bacterial small subunit ribosomal RNA", at positions 1 to 65 of the family's 1533-position model. The record is from RNAcentral. Lineage: Bacteria; Pseudomonadati; Bacteroidota; Bacteroidia; Bacteroidales; Muribaculaceae.
ACAACGGAGAGUUUGAUCCUGGCUCAGGAUGAACGCUAGCGGCAGGCUUAACACAUGCAAGUCGG